GACGAACGCUGGCGGCGUGCUUAACACAUGCAAGUCGAACGGAAAGGCCCUGCUUUUGUGGGGUGCUCGAGUGGCGAACGGGUGAGUAACACGUGAGUAACCUGCCCUUGACUUUGGGAUAACUUCAGGAAACUGGGGCUAAUACCGGAUAGGAGCUCCUGCUGCAUGGUGGGGGUUGGAAAGUUUCGGCGGUUGGGGAUGGACUUGCGGCUUAUCAGCUUGUUGGUGGGGUAGUGGCUUACCAAGGCUUUGACGGGUAGCCGGCCUGAGAGGGUGACCGGCCACAUUGGGACUGAGAUACGGCCCAGACUCCUACGGGAGGCAGCAGUGGGGAAUAGUGCACAAUGGGCGGAAGCCUGAUGCAGCAACGCCGCGUGCGGGAUGACGGCCUUCGGGUUGUAAACCGCUUUCGCCUGUGACGAAGCGUGAGUGACGGUAAUGGGUAAAGAAGCACCGGCUAACUACGUG
RNAcentral lists this ribosomal RNA (468 nucleotides) under uncultured bacterium. RNAcentral's name for it is "partial 16S ribosomal RNA". It matches the Rfam family "Bacterial small subunit ribosomal RNA", at positions 28 to 507 of the family's 1533-position model. The record is from RNAcentral.